AAAAGGGUUGCCUCCAGUGAUUCCCACUGUCUCCCAGUGUGAUUCUCACUGUCUCUUGAAAUCGGAGGCAGGAGUUUGGCCCAGAGGAAGAAAGUGUCCCGCUCCUGGCCAGUAGCACGAGUGCAGGAGCGGCAUGGAUGUGCCCUGGUCAAGAGCCUCGCUGCGCCCGAGAGGUCAGAACAGAGGGACCCAUGGUGGUCCCACACACCCCAAAGCCUUCCUGACUGGGAGUGCCCUGCAGUAAUUGUCCUGAAUGAGGAGCCAGGGCAGAGGGUCCUUCCGUGGUGUUUGGAGGAACUCCCACCCUGGGGAGCAUGUGGAAAUCAGGCAUCUUGUCGGAAGAGGCCGGGGCUCCUCUGGUUGAAGUCAGGUCCGCCAGCUGCUGAGGACCAAAGCUCUUGCUCUGCUGGGCUGCAGGGCUUUCAUGUUGCACUUCUGAAAGAUAAUAAAAUAUCAAUCGCUUUGCCGUAGCAACGGGUUUAAGAGACUUUCUGAAGUAUUGAAUCGUCAGAAAAAAUUUUUUUUUUUUUUUUUGCUUUUAAGCACAGUGCAUUAUUAAUAAGGUAAUCCAUUAGGUCGAGCAGCGAAGGGCCACCACAGAGAGGAGAGAUCUGUUUUGCAAACGGUUAAACUUCAGGUUUUAAGAUUAAUUGCUUUCAUUCGGAUGCUUGCUCUUGGCCUAGGCAGCUCCACUUUACUGGAACUCAGGGUCCUGCCUUUCUACAUGCCGUCGGGCCUGCCUGUCAGCAACGGAAGCCCAGCUCCAACUUUCGUGGAGAAACAGCCCUUCUUCCCCUGGCACCUGCUCUUGGGCUGGCACCAGGCUGUGGGCUCUCCGGGGAGGUUUGCAGCCCCAGGGGAGCAAGGGGAGUUACAGCCCUGAGUCCUGAGAGUCAAAUUAGCCCUCACGCUGUAGGAGAAAAGGCCCUUGAGCAGGGGCAGGCAGCAGAGGGUCUGAGCAGCCCCAAGAACUGUGAGAGCCUUGGGUUGUGAGGGACAGGGGAGGAUGCCAAGGGCACCCCCAAGGGGUGUCCCCAGAUGCAUGCUGCAGAAGGGUAGGUCUGGGUGUAAGCUGCCUCUGCAGAGGCCCAGCAGGAGGGCUGGGGUGACCACAGGAAGCAGCAGGCAGGCUGUGGAACUAAACAUCAGACCUAAUUCCUAGGGCAUUUUUAAUAAGUUAAAAACACCUAAAGGUAUUGGAGCUGGGCUGAGGAGGACCAGACAGUGCACCUUCAGUUGUUAGCGACUACUGUGAGUGCAGCGUCCACAGCUGACUCAGUUGAUCCGCGAGGGCAGGCUCUCAGCUGUGCUUGGGUACUGACCAGCGGGACCUCCCAGAAUAUCCCGUCAUGCUCUGGGCCACAGAGGGUACUGGCGGCCUCUCCUGUGGCCAGGACCCCUCCACAGCCCUGGGGGGAAGGCAGGGAGUGGGCCCUGAUGCUGUUCCACACUACAGAUCCCAGCCCAUCAGCAGGACGGCAGAGCCCAGUGGACACUGCUGCCUGCUGAGGGCUGGUAAAGGCCUUGUGAGGUUGGCAGGGUAGGGACCAGGCCUGGCACCCACUGUAUGCCUAGAAGAGGAAGGUCUCCAUCUGCACCUACCAGGCCAGCCCGGGCUGCAGCCGCCUCCUCACUACAGGGAAGCAAGUCAUCACAGAACCUGAGCAGCACGUACAGCCGUGUCCCCUUCCUGCCUCAACUCAGCCAGGCAGGGAGCCUGUGAAGAUGGGUCUCCCCAACCCGCUCCCAGAGCCUGGGGUAAAAAAGCAGGUGCUUCUGUCUGUUCCCUGCUCUUCCAUUCAUCUGCCCACGCAGAGCACUAAGGGUCGGGGUGGGGGGGAGGACAGGGAAACAACAUAAAUUGGUCUGUCGUCCAGAAUCCGUGUCUCGCUAAUGUACCCAGAUUAACUCAACUGUAAAUUGUCUCCUCGGAUGGCAGUGUCUUGCUAAAAGUUUCCCAUAUGAUUCAUGAUUUGGAUUGCUUUUAACGGCUAUUGGCUAAGCAAGCCAGUGACUGUACAAGGUGAUGCAAUUGGCAUUAGCAAGGGGAGGCACGGGAGCGUGUAAUGCAGUCAAUACUGCAUUAACUACUGAUGCCCAAUUACAGGGAGUGGGAGAGAGCCUUUUGGGAGCAUUAGGACUGGGGGAAGCUGAGAUCACUGGCCGCUGCUCGCCUAAAAGCUUCACCCUUUGCGUGCCGGGGCUCAGUGCUGGCCUGGCCACUCACUUGGCCUCUGUGGCCAUAGGAACUCACUCACUCUCUCUCUCUCUCUCUCUCUCUCUCUCUCUCUCUCUCUCUCUCUCUCUCUCUCUCUCUCUCUCGUCCCACAAUGAUGCUUUUAGCACAUGGAAAUGUUCAUUUUCCUAGAGCCGGGGCCUGCCUCUCAUCCCUCCUGAGAAUUGAUUUCCUACCCCACUCCAGGUCCCAGAGUCAGAUGGGGCGGCUGCCCCACCCACUUCCAUUUAAGGAACCACUCAGCAGGCCCUAUCUGAGAGUAGGACCAAGGGGAGGUCUAUUUCGGUCUCUCCCCCUUGGAACAGAUGGACGAUUGCCAGCAAGCAUUGGCGGCCGACCUUCUGUGGCCGAAGGAGACACAAGGUUUAGCCUCAGUGCAACUGCGCUGCUGGGGCAGGCAAGGCUGCUGGACCUGGGAGGUAGUCCUGGCUGGGCCUUCUGAGCAGAAGACAGAGAUCGAGAGGCUGAUGGCGGAGUGACCCAAGCCAGGUUGGGGUUCUCAGCAGACGCAGGCCCCCUCCAGAGCUGCAUCGACACAGGGCAGAGCUGCCCGCAUGUAGCCAGGAGACCAAAGCUGUAGUUGGGGUCCAUCUCCAGGGGCCAGAGGGCCUCCCAGGAACCCCGAUCAGACACAUUAGGAAGUUUGGAAGGAGUUAGGGGACAAAGUAGAAAAAAGCACCUGGGUACCCCAGUGUGGCAAGUACCAUGGGACUGGGACUGGUUUAGCUACUGUAGUGCUAAACUGUGCGGGUCCAGCACAUCCACUGUAGUUCUGUGUCCUGUGCCCACCCAAUGUUGAGAUUGCUUUGCCUCUAUGCCUUCUCAUCUCUACAGUGAGAAUGACCACAUCUAACCGGCACGAUUGUUAUUAGGAUUAAAUGAGAUAAUGUCCACGUACACCCUCGAUAAACCAGGAAGCCUCGUGCGUGUGUGAAGUGACAGUGCUCUCUACACAGCCACAGUAUGAUCUGAAAUAGUCCUGUGCCCAGUUCAGUGCCUUGCUCACUGCCAGGCACUGGGUCCUAACCUUCCUUCUUCUAGUUUAUCCCUAAUGGCCCUCAGUGGCCACUGUCCAGGAAGCAGGGUAGACUCACUACUCACCACUGUCCAGAUUUCCAAGGAGGGAGGCACCAUGGGAAGAAGGCUCUAAAAUCGCUCUCUGCAAGCCCUUCCAUUUAUAUGGCAUGGUUGGGGCUCAAAGUGGGCAAGAGAGUUGCCCAGGGUUAUGUAGGGAGUUAGAGCCCAGAGCUACUGCAUCUUUCAGUGUUCCAUGCCCGGCUUCCGUGCCCUCUGCCUGUACCCAAAACAUGAUAAGGCUGAAUGGUAGAAAUCUCCGAUGAGGAGAAAUGUCAGUUGGACCAAGGCCAUGUGUCUGGGCAUCCUACUCCCGGCCCUACUGACAGCUCAGGGCUCAUGGUUCCGUCCUCAGAUGUAGAUCCUCCUGGCGGGCGUUGAUGGUUGCUAACGUGGCCUGAGCCUUCACGGACUGGAGAAGCCCCAGAGGUGCAUGUGGCCUGUAGCCCUUGCUGCCUGCCUGCCCUACCUGGAGUUGAAAGACACUGAGGCACACAGGGCAUCCUUCCCCCCUCAGGCUGAACUUUUCGUGGUGCUGCUAGAGUGAGUUUUCCUGGUAGGUCUGUACUCAAGAUAGGACUACACCAGGGGAGUCAACUUGCACUGGCUUGCAAGAGCUGAUUUUGCACAUCUCUUCCCAGCUCUGAGUUCAGUGAUAUCACAUGGGUAGCUUGACAUCAGCCAUGGUGGAAGUAUGAACACCACGGAAACUGGCAAACGCUACACAUCAAGGGUUUUUUCCCCAGAGAAUCAGUUGUGAGCUAUCUGUCGGCACACCACUGGAUUGCAUUCAUCUGGGACGCUGGACCCAGCUCUUUCUGUUCUGCCACCACCCUUCUCCCAUCCCAUCUACCUCCUUUCAGAGGACCCAGUCUCUGCUACGCUGGCAUUCUGCCUGAGACCUGCUGCCACACUGAGCUGGGCAGGUCUAAUAUGUCCGCUCUGGUUUUGUGUCCCAUGCAGACCUGGCAUUUGCCUCUAUACCCUUGCUCACGUUGUCCCCUUGCCACAUCCUCUCCCCUUUGGUUGGCCUCGUAGGAGCCUACAGACUCCUGUAGGUCAAAGCCUCUUACAGACCAUUCUAGGUCCUGCUCAGAGUCACAUCCACCCAAGCUAGUAACAAGCUCAUCUCUCAGUGGUUGGAGUAUGUUUAUUUUGUGUUCUGGCUAAGGCAGGAGCCUACAGUGGCUGACAUAACUGGGGGCAAAUUAAAAGCAGAUGGUAGAGAAGAGUAAGCAGGCUGGUCCAGGUAGCCGAGGCAGAUGCCCCAGACUGCAGGCCUACUGGGUCAGAUUGGGCCCCUAGCUCUGCCUCCUGCCCCUUCCUAAGUGGGCUUACUUGAAUGGCCUACUGUCUUCAGGUGUAGCCUGCUAGCAUGAGUCAGGAGACCUGGCUUCUAGUCCCAGCUGACUGCUGUGUGACUUCAGACAACUUCCUGAGCCUCAGUUUUCACAUCUCUACAAUGGGAGCAACACCUAACUGACACCUAAUGUCCAUGUACACACUUGAUAGGCCUGGAGGCCUCAUGCCUAUAUGAAGUGACAGUGCUCUCUACACAGCUACAGGAUGGUCUCUUUGGCUUCGGCCUCUAAGUCUUUACACAACAGUUCUUGUUUCAGUGAACCCUUAGUUAAAAGUGAGCAUUGUACUGUGCAUGUGUAUCAGUUAGUUAUUGCUACAUAACCAACCACCCCAAAACUCAGAGGCUCAAAACAACAAGCAUCUAUUUAGCUUUCGAACCUGUGGGUCGGUGAUGCAGGCUGGGCUUGGCUAAGCGGUUUUUCGGGUCUCGGCUAGACUCACUCAUACCUGGGAGAUGGCUGAUCAGACUGGAUGCUGGGGGUAACGAGACUAUGUCCCUCAUCAUCCAGCAGGCUCUUCCAGAUUGUUCUCAGGCUGGAGGCAAGUCCAGGAGAGAGAAUGGACGCAUGUCUUCUUGAGACCUAGGCUUGGCUCUGGGAUGUUGCCACUUUACAUUCUGUUGGCCAAAAUAAAUCACAAGCCCAGCCCAAGUUCAAGGGAUGGGGAAACAGAUUCUGUCCUUGAAGGAAGGAGGUGAAAAGUCACAUUGCAAAGGGAGUGGAUAGGGGAAGAGGUAGAGAUGUGGUGCUGUGUGCAGGUCUCACAACUCGCAAGUCCAGGGCUGGGCUGGGCACCCAGGCCAUCUGCUCUCCUCUGUGCUCUGCCGGCUCCCAGCUCCCCCGUUGUGGCUGGCAGGCUUGCUGUUGGCGCACUUGUUGGGGGCUGACAUCAGAGCCCUGGCCCAUUCCUCCAUGGGCGAGCCUGGAGGGGGACCACAGUGAGGUCAGUCCCCGCUGCCUUCUCUGGCUUUUCCUCUGUCCUGCAAAGCCACCCAUCGGUUAGAAGGGGCGUGAAGCUCCGUGGUUCCCAGAGCUGAUUGAAACCUGGACAUACAUGCAGAUGCAGCCAGGCGAGAAUCAAUUCAUUGGUUAGCCCCUUGCCUCAAAGCAGGGCAGUAGGUGGGCUGGUGAGAGGCCCAUGUACAUUCAUAAACCAGCUGAUUGAAAAGCAAUAUUUCAGAUAAAUACAAGCCAGCGAUCUAUCAGUGGUUGUAAUAAAACCCAGGCUUCAGGCUGUGAUUUUAUUUUGAAAUAAUAAGAAUUGCUUGAUUCUUUUUACUUGAGUUACCAUGGUAAUUCCAGCGUGGAGCAGUGUUAUAUUGAUUUAGAAAGUGGACAGUAAUAUUUCUUUUGUGUUAUUCUGUUUCUAGGCCUUGAUUUCUAAUUUCCACUUGGAGAUUACUUUUAUAAAUUUCUUAAGUCCUUCCACUUUUUUUCCUCUCUCAGUAUAAUUUUCCUCUCAUACGCCGCUAUGUUCUGAGCUUAUUGGUUUGCUCUUAUUUUAAAUUAAACUUGCUGGUUUCAAAUAUUGAAAUGACAUCUUUGUGUCUGUACUUCGGUUUAGCAAAAUAUUACAGUCUGACGCUUUCCGCUUAAUAAUUUAAGGGAGGCAUUCUGUCGGCCCUCACUGGGUGCUGAUAACUUAUGACUCAACCAACGCAAGCCUUAAACUCCCUGACAUUUUAAUAUUGUGUGGUAGGAGCGGCCACCCCUCUGCUCUGAGUCUCAGUGGAGAAAAAUCCAUGUGGUACCCCAGAAGGGAGUUUUAAUAAUUCAACUUUGCUGGUUGGCACAAUGACUUGAUAGAGAAGGGGAGGGAGGCCGGUUCUUCUCGGGUAAGUGGGAGCAGCUCUGGUCUGGGCUCCGAUGGCUCCCACGAGCACCCGCUCCAUCCUGUCUUUCCUCUCCCCUGAAUCUUUAAAAACUCCAAUUCCUGAUCCCUUGGUGACAGAUUGUCCAGGAAGGAUUUGGGGCUGGGGUGGAGGGGCUGCCUGUGGGUGCCGUCAUGAAUUCUUGAACUCUCUGUUUCUCAGUUUUCCCGUUUGUAAAACAAGUGGAACUGGCUCGGGCUUUGAGUCAGACAGCCUGGGUUCAAAUCCCGCCUCGGCCACUGAAUAAUUCUAGGUAGUAAACUGAAUAGUAAUUCUUACUGGUAAGAUGGGUAUGAUCACGAACAGCUUUUAGGUCUGUUGAGCCUUCACCCAGCACAUCUCUUGUUGGUCUUAGAGAUGGUUGGUGCGGUCUCCCUACCCUUCCUAGGGUUUUAAGAGGAGCAAGGGAGAAAGCAGAUGUGGGUGUGCUUUGGAACGUUUACUCUGCUCCAGACAUGCCUGGGGUUCAGAGCUCUGGCAGGACUGUUCUUUGGAGAGGACCCAGGGUGAUGGCUCCGCGAGGAAGUGGGUCAGCUCCACCCACUUUCCUGGUCUGCCCAGUGGAGAGCAGGGAGCCUGCUGUCCUCUGUCCUCUCCUUACAACACUACACAGCAAGGAUGGGGCUCCAGAAGGAAGCUCACAGCAGCAGGGGUUGUAGGGCAGAGAUCUGUCCACAAGCUCUGUCUCUCUGGCCUGAAGAAAGGCCCCUACUGUCCUGUGUGUGUAUGCCACUGUGGUGGUGUAUUAGUUAUCUCUUGCUGUGUAACAAAUUAUUUCACAAUUUAGCAGCUUAAAGCAACACCCAUUUUUUAAUCUCACAGCAUCUGUGGGUCAGGAGUCCAGGUACAGCUCAGCUGGGUCCUCUGCUCAGGGUCUCUCACAGACGAUGAUCAACGCGCUGGCCGGGGCUGUGGUCUCAUCUGAAGGUUCAUCCGGGGGAGUGAGCUUUCACGCUCACUCAUGUGGUUGUUGGUGGGAUUCCGUUCCUCAUGGGCUGCUGGACUGAGGGCCUCCGUUCCUCACUGACGGCUGAUCAGAGGCUGCCCUCGGUUCCAUACCUCGUGGGCUUCCUCAUUAGGACAGCUUGCUUCCUAAAGCCAUCAAGAGAGAGUGUCUGCUAGCAAGCAGGAAGUCACAGUCUCUUAUAAGAUGUGACACAUGUAAUCACAGAUGUGACAUUCCAUCAGUUUUGCUGUAUUUUCUUCCUUGGGAGCAAGUCUCUAGGCCCAGCUCAUACUCAAGGAAGUGUGUGUGUGGGGGCUACACAGGGUAUGAAGACCCUGUGUAACAGAGGAUCAUUAGGGCCAUUUUAGGAACUGGCCUACUGUGAGAGGUCAGCCUCUGGAACAGCAUCUUAGGCCCCAAGGUGCCCAAGGUAUCGGGAGGCCUGGUACCUCUGUUUCCUACAUCACCUCACCCCAGGGAAGGCCACAGAUGUCUCAAAGCCUUUCGUUUCAUCUUCACAGCACCUUUGGGAGGCUGGAGAUCAAACACUAGCCCCAUUUUGCAGAGGAGGAGGCUAUGCCCAGAGAGGGCAAGCUUGCAAAGCGGCCGUCCAUGACUCCAGGGCCUCUCUUCUGACUCAGAGGAGGUGAGGGUGCUUCCUUCCUGAGCCAGCCUCCCCACAGCUGUUGGACUGGGGGCCUCAACCCCUCGCUGGCUGUUGCCGGGCGGGGUGGAGACGGCGUCUUUGAGGUGGUCUGGGCAAAGGCCACUUCAGCAGUUCCUCACAUGGGAACAGGGCUGAAGGAGGCUCUCCUUCGGGCUGGGACCAGAACUUGUGCAUCCUCAGCCUGGCUCUCCACCAGCUCCCGUUCAUUGGGAAUGUCCCAGCACGUCCCCGGGCAGACCUCCUUUCCUCUCUGGGUUUACGUUUUCCCACUGAUGUUUCAAGGGCCGCUGGCCGCUUGAUGCCUCGUGGUAGCGUGCAUGGAGACAUGACCACGGGUGGGGAACGGGUGGGGUGAGGCCAAGGCCAGGAGACAGAACCCACCCCGUUGACGUUUCUGUGUCUUUCUUUGGUCUCCUGGGGUCAGGAGGAGUAGAGAUCCCAGGUGAGAGCAUUUGUGGCCUCCAGCCCUCUAUACUUGAUCUUGCCAUAUUUGAAUCCAGGUGGACGGCCCCAUCCCUGGCUGCUCCCAGGCAGAGCCUCAACUAGGAGGCAGAGGGGACCCUCGGGGUAGGCCCAAAGCCUGGAGGCCAGUGAACGAGUCACAGCCUCAGACCUGAGAGGACCCUGGUCAAUGAUCUCCUUUUAUGGAUGGGUGGGGGGUGGGGGGACGGAGGCACCAAGAAGCAUCUAUUUCCUCUCUCAGCUGACGUUGAGAUACUCAGCUGAAAUCUCAGCGGAGAUACUUUCUGAGUAGAAAAGUCUGGGGCCCAGCAGAGGCUGCAUCCAACCUGGGAUGGGACAUCAGGGCUGAACCCCAUCUCUUUGCCUGUCAGUCAGAGGCUGUCUCUUGCAGGUGGCUUCUCUCACCCCAGCCAGAAGCUGUUUCCCGCCUGCCAGGCAUCUUGGCAGGGGCUAGGGCUCCGGAGGAGCAGAGGGCAGUGGGCAGGGCUACCUCGGGCACCAGGUCCUGACCCGGUACUCAGCCCAAGUGCAGAGUGUGGUGUUUUGACCUGCCUUUUUGCCCCGAGGAUGUGUUCACGCUACUCUUUGAUCCUCAGAAUGCUUUAUCAGAGCGGUGCUAAAAUACGCCUUAUAUAACGAAAAUAACAUCUCCCUAGUAUUGCUGAAAAUGUAAAGGAACAAAAUGAUCCAGGAAAAAACGGAAGUUGGUUGAAAUCAUGAACGCAGAGCAAAACUGGCAGCAGCUAAGACUGCACCUGGCAAAAUGUGUUAUUGACUAAAAAUUGACAGAGGAAUCAAAUCUUCCUGAUAAAAUUUAUCUGCCGGAGUUGGCUCAGGAAAUAUUUUCUGGUAGAAAUAAUUACUACAAAAGAAGUCUCAGCAACAGUGGAAGUUCUCAUUUGUAAGAUUUGAUUUGAGCCCAAAGUUGAUCAUAAACCAAAUAGUCACUUAAAAAUAAUUUAUCCCAAUGAAAAUAAUUUCAAUAAAAUGAAAAUGGAGAAAGAGGAAGAAAUGGUUUAACUCUAGUGAAUAGAAAGUUGAUCAAGGCAUUGAACUGACUUAAUGAAGCUCCCUAAGAACUACUUUCUUGAUCAAAAAUCAUCAAUGUUGAUACAAUUCUUAUUAACAUAUAGGUGUUAGGGGCUAGCCCUUAGUAGAUGUUUAGUAAAUAUUUGUUGAGUGACCUGUGAGUGAAUGAGUUAACAGGUGAAGGAGGGUGGGAGGAGAGCAGAGAGAAUCAUAAGAGUUCCUUUAACCCAGAGAGAGGGCACAUUUCCAUUUUAUUAAAAUCAUUUGGGCUGCUCUGGAAUGUUUUUCGACACCACCAAGCUAUUCUCCAAUUCUCAAUGGUCACCUACUGUGUGUCCUACAAGUUUAACUCAGUUCUGACACUGUCUACCUAGAGAUGACAGGUUAAGGGCUCAGUCCCACCAGACUGCUUCCACUUCAGAGGCCAUUCGCAAGUCCAGGUUGUCACCUGUACUUCUGACCAACACACGGUAAAUCGGGGUUCACCCCCUCCUCAGGUGAGAUAGUUUCCUAGAAUGGCUCACAAAGCUCAGGGAAACAUUGCCUUACUUUUACCAGUUUACUCUAAGGAAAUGAUAAAGGAUAGAGAUGAACAGGUAGAGGAAGAGGUACCUAGGGUGAGGUCUGGAAGGGUCCCGAGCACGGCAGCAGCGUCUGUCCCUGUGGAGUUGGGGUACAUGUGGACAUGUUCACCAACCCAGACCUUAUCAGAUCUUGUAUAGAACUUCUUCACUGGCCACUCCCCAGCCUUUCCUGGAAGUGAGCGGGUGAGGCAGAAAGUUCUAACCCUCUAAUCGUUUGGUCUUUCUGGUGACCAGCCCCAUCCUGAGGCUACCUAGGGCCCUCACCCUAAGUCACCUCAUUAACGUAAACUCAGAGGUGCUCAAAAGGGACUCCUUAUGAAUAACAGAAGAUACUCCUAUCACUCAGAAAAUUCCGAGGAUUUUAGGAGCUCUGUGCCAAGGAACCUGGAACAAAGACCAAAUAUAUUAUUAUACUCCAUCUACUCUGUGGAGAAUAAUUGGAGGGGAUAAAACUAGGGGCAGAAAAUAAAAAUAAAAAACAGCCAUGAUGUAGAAGGGAAGUGUUCUUCCUUUGGAGCUUUAUAGUGUGACCACUGUAGUGUGACCUCCAGCCUCAGACUGCCCCCCGCACCUUCCUUCCAGCAGUUUCCUUCCUUCCAAGCUUGCAGUCUGGGCCUGGGGCAGCAGCGGGGGGAUGCAGAUGGUGGUCCAGAUGGUCAGAGAGGAGGCAGUUGAAGUCCGGGAAAGAAAUGGUGGAGGGCAUGACUAGAGCUGUGGCCUUGGGAAUGUGGCGGGCUCCUCUGAGGUCUCCUGGUGGUCAAGAUCUUGGCUAGAGAGUCUCAGCUACCAGCAGCAGGGCCUGAGUUUCUGGAGUUGAGCCCCAGGGAAGGUGGACUCUGACUGCAAGCCUGUCCUCACCCACUCUUGUCCCGGAGGCCCCUGCUGGCCCUGCCCAGCUUUGGCCGGAGGCUUCCGCGGCCCCUACACGUCCUCUUCUGUGGCUGCCCUGCGACUGGACCAAGAUCCUGGCUUUCCAGACUCCAAAGGAGUGAGCCAAAGCCUGUAGGCCUGAGGCAGGCGGGAGCACACCGGGGCAGGGAAACGGCAAGUCCAGACCUGCCCAGCUACCCACUUCUGAACUCCUGUGAUCUCAUGUGAUGUGUCUGUGAAAUGUUUCGUGGCCUUCCCAGCUCCGGGCCGGUUUCCUUUCUCAGACGGGCUUCCACGAAAGCUCCUGAUUCUGGGAAAGAGCUAAGUCUCUCUACCCUUAUCUGUGUCUAAUACAGUCCUCCCCCUGAUUAUAUAUGUGAGUAGGACUGGCCCGAGCAGAGCGGAACCUGUGUCUAAGAGCACUUCCGCGGGGAGCUGAGUCUAAGGCCCUGCCUCUGCAGUGAACUGUCCCUCGGGGCAUCUUUGUACAGCGCUGCUCCUGCCUGGCUGCCCAGGGCCUAGAGAGCCACCCAGCCCAUUCCACACUGGCCACACUCUUCUCCCCAUGGCCCACAUUCCCCGGUGCUCUGCCUUCCCUUCCAGGAUGAAGGCUUUGGAUUCUUUCCCUCAAGAGGAGAGAAACCCCAAUAGCGUCCGUCCAGACCCCAGAUUCACGGGCAGCUGGGUGCACCCUGCCACCCAGUCAGCGUAGGCCUGACUCCCUCUGCCGGCCACAUGCUUCAUCUUGAGUCACCCUCUCAGAUGAGCCACAGUGGGUGCUGCCCUAGCCUGGGCACUGAACUCUCUCCCUCCAGCAGUUUUCAUUUGACCCAAAGGCAGCCCUGUUGCCUUCCUUCCUGGCCUACGUGGCCUGCAUCUGAGCUUGCACACCGUCUUGGGCGGGGCUCUCAGGCCCUGGGAGAGGAUAGCACUCUUUACUGAACCUCGGCUGGGGGCCUGGAGGACCUCACUCUGACCCUAUUCAUACUGCAUGUACCGUAACUUGUGGUACCCAAUGUAGGACAGGCUUGGGGUCUAAAACAGGGACCCUCCCCAAGAGUGUGCCCAGUUUGCAGGUGGGGCAUAGGCCUCGGAGGAUGCAGAAAUUUCAACAGAGAUCUCAGAAGACAAAACACGAGUGUAGUAGUGGAAGCGAAUGGGUCAGAGAAGAGUGAUGGAUCCAGUAGGGUCUGAGUUGCCUAGGAACAGGGCUGGAAGAGUGGGCACAGUCAGAUUUCUGGUUGGGAGGGACUGGGGAGGGAAGCAAGGGGGUGCUCUGGAGCCCUUCCCUAUGAAGUAGCUGGGGCGAGGUAGGGUGACCAGGGCCCGGCCUCUUUGAGGGCUGGCUGCUGGACCUCCCAGGACCCCUCUCCUGACCCCAGGACUUAAUUUUUUAUGAACUGGUUUCUCCUGUUCUCAAAGGAAUAUUUGUUUUGUUGUUUGUUUGUCUUGCCUUUCUUUAUAACAACUUUAUUGAAAAUAAUUUGCAUGCCACCAAAUUAACCUUUUAAAAAUGUGCAUUUCAGUGGUUUUUAGUAUAUUUAGAGUUGUGUGACCAUCACCAUUAUCUAAUUCAAGAACAUUUUCAUCACCCUAAAAAGAGACUCCAUGUUCAUUAGCAGUCAUUCCCCAUUCCCCUCCUCCCUGGCAACCACUAAUUUACUUUCUGUCUCUCUGGAUAUGUCGUAUAAAUGGAAUCAUACAAGAUGUGGUCUUUGUGGCUGACUUUUUCCCUAGCAUAGUGUUUCCAAGGUUCACCCAUGUCGUAGCGUGUCUCAGUACUUCAUUUCUUUUCAUUUCCCAAUAAUAUUCCAUUAUAUGUAUAUACUACAUUUUAUUCAUUCAUCAGUUUAUGGGCAUUUGAGUUGUUUCUCCUUUUUAGCUAUUGUGAAUAAUGCUGCUGUGAACAUUCACAUACAAGUUUUUGUGUGGACAUAUGUUUUCAUUUUUCUUGGGUAUAUAUUUAGGAGUGGAAUUGCUGAGUCAUAUGGUAAUUCUAUGUUUAGGGAUAUUUGUUUUUCACUUUAAAUAAACAGUACAAGAGUGUGUAGGAGAGACACCAUCCUUGGCUGUCUGAGCUUUGGGAAAGGAGGUUGCCUGCAGCCUGGUCCCCUGGGCUCCUAGGGGUCAGUGGAACCUUGGGUAAGUCCUUUCCCCUGCUGGCUUCAGUUUUCUGAUCAGUGAAAUGGGAUUCUUACGGAUCCCUGCUUGCCUCAAGGGCUUUUGUUAGUAAUUACUACUUACAUAGCGUGUCAAGGAUGGCAAAGCCUUCCGCUUGUUUUAGCUGCUUUGCUUCUUUGGCCCCACAACUUGGGUAUUAUUACUCGAGUUUUGCUGAUGGGGAAGCUGAAGCUCAGAGAGGCUAAAGAACUUGACUGAGUUUACAUUGUGGGUUAAUGGCAGAACCUGAACUUGAACCCAGACUCAUCAGAGUUCAGGUCCCUGGCCUGAACUCCUGUCUCACCUGUGUCUCUGGGCAAAGCAGGGCAUUAUGCAAGGGAGAUCCCUGUCUGAGCAACCAUCACAUUCUAUUCUCCAUCCUGGGUGCUGGGAAGUCAGGGCCCAGACGUGGCAAGGUGUGGGCUCUGAGGCAGAAUGGUGCUCUAGGAGUCAGGACUUUGCAAAAGUCCCCUUUUGCCUGUGUGACUUUGGAUAAAUUGCUCCACCUCUCUGAGCCUCAAUUUCCCCCCAUCCACAAAAUUGAAACAGUAAUUAUUACUCAAAGCACUGGAAGGGGAACAUGGUAAGAUGUUGUAUAGGAAAUGCCAAGCACGAUGCUGGGCAGGGAGAAGGUGUUAGGUUAUAGAACACCCGAGGAGGGCUGGAAGAGGGUGCAGAGUGCCGCGGGACCUUUGAGGAGAAGCGGCUGGAUUCUGGGCUGGUCAGAGCCGGUGUUAGGGAGGGAAGGUGAGAGAAAGUGGGCUGUGCCAGUGUUCUCCAGCCCGGGGCUGCCAGAAACCAGGAGGGGUUUCCAGGGGUUUCACAAAAACCUCCCGUCUCCAGGAGAGUUUGUAGACAGGCCCUGCGGGUACCAGCAGUCCUCACCCCCAGCCUAGCCCACAGCUGCCUGAGAGGGGGGCUUGCCUGACUGCCUAAGUUAACCCAAAUGGUAAGAAAACACUUUAAAUUUAUUGUGACAUUUGGAUUUAAUUAAAAAGUACACACUUAGGGAAGUAGAACAUAAUGGGGAGAGAGGCAGGGUGGCUUUUCCCCUCCUUUCUUCCCCAAACUAAUUAGCGUUGUAUUUUAAAUUGUUUAUGUGCCGCUAAUCAUCGUAAUAAAUCAUUUAUACUGAAAAAGACACAGUUGGCUGUGCCCGCCACGCAGGUUCCGCUCUCCGGGCUCUAUCGCGAACAAAUUGAUCUGGAAGUGAAUUUAUUAACCACUGGGGAAGAAAUCAUUAGUGCUUCCUCUAAACAUUCCCCAGGUACGCUUUAUUGCCGCAGUUUACGCUGUAACUAAAAGAGCAUUACCCAGGCCCAUGUUGUAAUUUCCUUACAGAGCUGGCAGCCCACUCCCAAGCCAGGGGGUGGGAGGGGUUCAGGAGUCCCUGCCUCCUCGCCCAUAAGUGGUCUGGUGACCCCAGCUCUUUCCCAGGGCUGCUCAUUCCAGAAGCAGCCCCUUGAGGUCUCUGCAGGCCCAAGGCCUUGGCUACCUUCCUGGUGCCUCUCAGAGGAAGAGUGGUUCACAGUCGAUCGUGUUUCUGUCUCGGGCGUGUGGCUUACAGUUGGGGGUUUAGCCUCGGGUCUGGAGAACUGAGGGGCAGGGGCUGGGAGUCAUUGAGGUCCUACAGGCUUGUUGUGGACCAGCUUCCCCACCCGGAGGUGGGAAGGCGUCAGCGGUAGGCUGAUCGUGCGCUUAGGGGAACCAGCGUGGCUGAGCAGGAACCCUGGCAGGAACAGCGGCUGCUGGGAGCAUCCUCUACCUGCAGGCGCCCCAGGGCCCUCCUCCUGCGGGCCCUGGGCCCUCCUCCUAGGUUUGGCUGGAGCAGUCUGUUCUGCUCAGCUUCCCGCUGAGGCCCGCUGCCCCGUGUGUCCCCAGCCACCUCACAGGGCAGGCCCAGGAUGGUGCUGCGUAUGCCAUACAUGGUCUGACAGAUGACAGGCAGCAUGUCAGCUCCCUGGCUACAGAUACCCUGCCUCAGGUCGUGCAGCCUGUGGCCACAGCAGCCUUCCCAGCAGCCUGGCUACCCUGUGAUUGCUUUCUCUCCCUUGGCACUGGGGGCUUCAGACCACUCUCACUUCCCAGGGCCUGCACUCCAAGACCCUCCCAGCAGGCUUUCUCCCACCAGGUUUCUCGAAGGGAAAUUCACUUCUGAACCAAUACCUUCUCCCUAGGAGCCCAUGGCUGCUCUGGGAUACAAAUCCCUGCCUGUCUGACUCCAAAGCUCAUGUUCUUAACAGCUUCAUCCACUGGGGGCCCAUGAGCCUCCUCAGCCAGGUUGGGGGUGCAUGGGGAUCUAGCUCACGUGGGCCUUGCCUUCGGCUCUUUUCAUCUGGGUCUGCAAAGCAAGGGGGAGCAGCCCCCGAGGCCUCAACAGGAAGCCCCAGGACGGCACCUCAGGCAAGUACCCCAAGGUCGUGCUGGGUCCACAAGAGCCAGAGGCGCUCCUGUCCCUGCGGCUCCCGGGGUCUUUCUCCCAGCUCCCUCAUGCUCCCCUCCCUCACGCAGCCCAGUGGCUAGCAGAUGGGCCCUGGCUGCUUUGAGAAGCAGGCAGGACCCAGCAGCUGGCUAGACCAAGCCUGCCUGGAGGGUCCCCUCCUUGUGUCUAGAGAACACAUUUAAAAGUUUGAAUUCAAAAUUGAUUUUGAAGGGCCCUAAUCUCCGAUCCCCUGGCGCUCAUGGUGUGUCUGCAGCUCCUGCCAGACUCUCGUUUUCUGGUUCAGCGCAUUGGUGCUCGCGUCUCUGUUGCUGUGAAAUUGAGACUCGUCUGAGAGUCGGUGCCCUCCUCCUCUGUGGAGACGGCAGGCCCCUUGGGAGCCAUGUUUCAUUAGAUGGGUGACGUGGGCUUUCCGGGUGCCCAGGGAGCAGUUGAGUUGCUGUCUGGGGAAUGCAGCUUCCAGACGCUCCCGCUAGUUCCCAUAGCUGUGCAGCUCCAAGCAGCAUCCUGCCUAGGGCUCUGGGGGCUAGCUCCAGCAGCCCAGGAUGGGAUGGGGCUUGGAGGAGGCUACAGAUAGAGAAAGACUUGGGACCUGGCGAUUUUCUGUAGCAAACUUCAGGGGCUUUUUCCUCCUACUGGUCCUCAGAGGCUCAGACUAGGCGGGGAGUGGGUUACAUCGUUAAGCCAGAAGGACCCUCAAGUGGAGAGUGGCAGGGGCUAGGUCUGUGCCAGGGAGGAGCGGUGCCCUGGCCACAGGUACAAAGGGAAAGCCUGAACUGCCAAGGUUACACAGAUGCCUGAGCUCCAGGACUCCACUGCAACCCGAGAGUUGGGAUGUAGUAUUUACGCAUGACGAGAGGCACUGAGGGGGGCUUCCUUCCUCAUGGGUCUGCAGGGCUGAAGGACAGGAUUCCUGCCCCUUUAUCUAAGGAGUAGAGGGUUUAUAUCUGCACAGGAGCAGUCAUUUCUCAGCUGGAGCCCUGGGGUGGGCCUAUUCAGAUUCCAGAUAGUGGCAGGCGGGACCUAGGCACUGCCACAGUUGAAUCUGCCUUUGUUUCUUAGAGCUGCGUAGCUACAGGUGUGUGGCACAGGGCAGCACCAGGCCAGAUUAAGGGUCCCAUCUCUGGGGAGCCUGCCCGUCUGCGUCAGCCCACUCUGCCCAGCAGACUCUUGCCAGUAAUAUCUGGAUGGAUUCCGUUCAGUCUCUUCAUUCAUUAACUGAACUGAUUAAAAAACUGGUUAAAAAGUGACCGCUAUGGGGUUCAACCCUGGGGACACAGUGGUGAACAAGACAGAGCCCCCAAAAUAGGCCUUCAUGGGGCUUACAUUCUUAUAAUAAAAUUCUUAAACAUUUUCUUAGGUAAAAUCACAAAAAAGUAAAACAGUUACAGAUUGUGGUAAAAAACUGAGAAGGAAAUGACCAGGGAGUCGUUUAAAUAAGGAAAUAAAGAGAUCAAGGCUGGCCUCUCUGAGAUGGUAUUUAAGCUGAAGCCCCCAAAUGAGAAGGAGCCAGGCACAUGAAGAGACAAGGAAGGGUGUUCUAGGAAGAGGGGAACAGCAGGUGCAAAGGCCCUGAGGCAGAAGGGAGGUCUGGAGUGUGGCUGAAGCACAUUGCGGGUGGAGGGGCAGAGGCCAGACCACAUAAGGAUAUCCUGGGCUUAAUGAAGGGUGUGGAUGGCAUUCCCAGCCCACUGGAAGAUAAGGAAGGGUUUCAAGCUGAGCAGUGACCUGACCUACUUUGUUUUGAAAGAUUUCUCCAGCUGCUAUUUGAAGCUGGAUUGUAGAUCCUAAACAAGGAGCUGGUGGGGUGCUUAGCUGAUAGUGCAGUGAGAGAUAGUGGUGGCUCUGGAAAUGGAGAGAAGCAGGUGGGACGGGGUGGGGACCAAGCAGGGAAGAGGGGAUGAGGAUGAUGGAAGAUCUGAAGAUGACUCUGAGUUUCUGGCCUGAGCACCCGGCUGGAUGAUGGUGUCAGGACUGUGAGGGGAAGCCUGGGUAAGGGUACAGGUUUUGGGGGAGGAGAUCUAGAGUCCUAUUUUGGAUCUGUUGCUUUCUAGAUGUGUCUGGGGCUUUACAGAGACAACCUGAGGAUGAGAAGAGAAGGCCUACACCCGUGCCGGAGGAGCACACGUCGCAGAUAACUAUGCAGUUAACGUAGGCGUCAUUCCCUGUGACAAACUCCAAAGAGCACAUGCAGCUUCUGAUGUUUCAAAGCGCCCCUCAGAUUCUGUUUGCAGCUGCUCCCGUGUCUCUCGGUACAUUGUCCAGGUCCCCUUCAAGUUAUCGACUGGGUCCCCUAAAGCCGUUGCCCAACAGCAGGCUGUGCUGGGUUCGGCUUCCCUCAGCAAGGAAGACCCGUGAGGUACGUGUGGAAACUCCUCAGCCCCUCCAUCUCUCCACACUGGAAGGUCCCCGUGGGCUUAGGCAUCUGGACCCACCAUUCCUCAGGAUGUUUGUCUCUGCUAGAACCUGCUGCAGAAAUGCCUGCUGCUUCGGACUGCUGCAUAGGAAAUGGGUCCUCUGGGGGGAUACUGGGGACCAGAGGCCCAUCCUUCCCUGAUUUGUCCCUGUAAGGUGUGUUUCAGAGCUGCCUUCUUUUGGCAGGGCCCAGUUUGGGUCCAAGAAGAAGUUCACUUACCCCAUUGCUUAGGGAAAAAAAUGACACGAUGCUGCCUCUAGAGAGAGCAGGAAGGGGGUGGGGCAUUUCCUGGCCAGUGGCCUGGGUCCAAAGCCCUGCUUGGCCACUCACAGGAUGCCCCUGGGCCGGUUGUGUGAUUUCCCUGACCUCAGGGUCAUGGUGAGAGAGAGCAUUAGCGAGUAUAAAGCAUUUGGCCCGUAGUAGGCAUUCGGUGCGAGGUGUUGUCAUGUGGUCAAACGCCGCAGUUGUCUGGGGAUGGGACUGGACAGUGCUUUCCGUCGGCCUCUACUGUGGUGAUCUGCGGAGACCAGGAGGAACUUGGCACUUCAGAGACCGCAAGCGUUUGCUGGACCCCCUUUAAAUUUCUUACCUCCAGCUCCCCCCACACCCUCCCCUCUCCCCUCAUUCACACAGAGCCCCUGGCCGUUGACGGAGGCUCCCCGACUCUGUGGCUCUGGGUCUGGAGCCACCAGCUCUCCCCUCACAGCCCAGCUCUCCCCAGUGAGGCUUCUUCAUCUCUGUCAAGGCUGCGAUGCAAACAUCUCUGCUCUGCCUCUGCAUGGCCUUCCUGCUCCCCUCCCAGCCCCUGUGCUUUGUCCUUAGAUUCUGGUCUGUGUCCCCUUUUCUGGCCCUGCCAGAAGCCCUUUCAAGAUCCUACAGCAGCAGGAGCUUCUGAAGGAACAACAGGUGAGAAGCAGUAGCCUGUGACCCACCAGAGCCUGGAGACAGUGCACUGCCUGUCAUUCCUCCUGGUCUUAGUCCGGGCCCUGCUCUAAGCUUGCCCCCCCGAGUGCCGCCCUAGCAUCACCUGUGUCCAGGUUGCACAGAUGCUGCCCCAGCAAACCUUCUUCACCUGGGCUGUUCAGGGAGGCCACGGGGUGUGUUCUGGGUGAGAAACGGAACUCUGGAUUCUGGCAGGCCAGGGCUCCAAUCCUCCCCCUGCCACCUGUCAGCUGUGUGACCUCGGGUAAGGGCCUGAACCUCCCUGGGCCUCUGCCGAGUGCGGUAAUCAUUUAGUGCCUCAGGGUUAAAAUGAGGGUUCACUGAGACAACAGAUGUAGUGAACAGCGGGUAAAUGGUGGGUUUUAUGAAGAGGCAUAUAAAGUCUUGACGGAGACUGAGGGGUCUCCUUCUUAGGUUUUUGGUGUUGCUGAGGUAUCAUAUAUAUGCAGUAGAAGGCACAAGUCUCAAAUGUUCAGUUCAGUGACGUUUUCUGUUACGUAUGCACCCAUUUAAACACCACCCAGAUCAAGAUAAAGGACAUAUCCAGGACCUCAGCAGGCUUCCCCACACCUCCUGCCAGGUGAUGAUACACCCCAUUAUUCUGACAUGGAUCACCAUGGAUCGGUUUUCUGUUUGGGAAUUACAUAUAAGUAGAAUGGUACAGUAUCUACCUUUCUGUGUCUGGCUUCUCUUGUUCCACAUUAUACUGUCUGAUUAAUGCACAUUGUGGUGUGUACUGGUGAUUCGUUCUUUAUCAUUGCUGUGUACUAUUCUAUUGCAUGACCAUAGCAUAGUUUAUUAUCCAUUUUACUGUUGAUGGACAUCUGUGUAGUUUUCAGUUUGGGGCUAUUAUGACGAAAACUGCUACAAACAUCGUCGUACAUCUCUUUCGGUGGAUGUAAGCUCUCAUUUCUGUUGGGCGCGUACCUAGGAAGAGAAUUGGGGGGGUCAGCAGAUGUGCAUAAAUGUUCUUAGUUGAUUGUUUUUAAGCUACUGUGUCCCACAUCGUUAUAAGUAUUUCAUGUCCGUUAUCUAAUUCAGUCCUCCAAAUAAUCCUUUAAAGUAGUCUGUUCUCAUUUAGCAGGUGAGUAUGUUGAGGCAGAGCUGGGAAGUGAUGGAGUCAGAAUUCCAGCUGAGGCCAUCUUGUCUGCAGGGACCACCGUCAGUGUGUACCCGCCUGCCUCUUCUCUCGGAGCCCCUUGAGGGGCACUGCUAGAGUCAAAGGGGCCCGUCCCCCCGCCGUGCUGACCGCCAUCCCGGGAGCCAAGCCCCCGAACCCCUAGGGGAGUUGGAGGCCACAGGAACCCCACUUCCCUCCCUCAUCAAAUCCACUGAGCAGCUACCAGCGAGGGGCUGUGCACAGAGGCGGUAAUGAGCGUGCUCUAGGUGGCUGUAGCCGUGCGCUUCAACAGUUGUUCUCGUUGGCUUUUGAUUCCAAAUGAGUAGGAAAUGCUAUUAGUUCAGGCCUGGCCUGGUGCGUGGCAAGGCCCUGGGAUAGGAGUGCAGUGAGACGAGAAAUUGUGGAGAUAAAACUGGUGUGAAAUGGAGGCCUUCGCACGAGGCUGGAUGUGUCCGUGCGAAAUGAAGUUACUUCUGAGAAAACGAGAUUUAAAGAGAUUCUGCAAAAUUAGAUUACACUUUCAAAUUUCCUUAUUAAACAGGAUUGAGGCCGAGGAGGGGCCGCUGGCUGGCUCUGUUUGGGAUCCUACUCUGCAGUUCCAGGCCCGGGUGUGGGCCCCCCGCUGGGUACAAGCACCUUGCAGGUGGCAGGGACCCAGACCCUACCCCUCCAGCAGCUGACAUGGGUGUGACGAUUGUGGGACUGAUCACUUCUGGAUAAUUUCCCCUGCUUUGCCUGGGUCCACGUGGGCGAAACCUCAGGGCUUGUGCUCCUCCAUUUCCUGGGGCAAGUGGAAUUAAAAACAGAGCACCA
Long non-coding RNA from Orcinus orca (killer whale), 20991 nucleotides. RefSeq lists it as uncharacterized. The transcript has 3 exons. The record is from RefSeq and is a predicted model, not a curated record. Lineage: Eukaryota; Metazoa; Chordata; Mammalia; Artiodactyla; Delphinidae.